This 254-nucleotide ribosomal RNA is filed under the name uncultured bacterium. RNAcentral describes it as "partial 16S ribosomal RNA". It matches the Rfam family "Archaeal small subunit ribosomal RNA", at positions 474 to 727 of the family's 1478-position model. The record is from RNAcentral.
CACCAGCGCCCCGAGUGGCAACCGCUUUUAUUGGGCCUAAAGCGUCCGUAGCCGGUUCAGUAAAUUUCCUGUGAAAUUGUUGGGCUUAACCUAACAGCAUGCAAGAAAGACUACUGGACUAGGGACCGGGAGGCGUCAGAGGUAUUCCUGAGGGAGCGGUAAAAUGCUAUAAUCUUAGGAGGACCCCCUGUGGCGAAGGCGUCUGACGAGAACGGAUCCGACGGUGAGGGACGAAAGCUAGGGGAGCGAACCGG